Molecule: long non-coding RNA, 502 nt
Filed under: Homo sapiens (human)
Lineage: Eukaryota; Metazoa; Chordata; Mammalia; Primates; Hominidae
Description: non-protein coding lnc-NRIP1-10:1
Source: RNAcentral
UCAGCACUCAGGAAAAGAAGGAGUGGGAAGGGAGGGGAAGGGAGGGGAAGUGGCGGGGAUGGAGGCCGUGGCCCUAAAGUGGUCAGUCAGCCCUCUUGCUUUAGACAGCAAACCGAGAGAAUUCUACACACUCUUCUGCUCAUGCAAGAAAUGCUUGGAAGAGCAUUUACUUUCAUUCAAAAGCGGCAGCAGACCCUAAGGUUUGCCUAAGCCAACACCAAGAUGGACAAAAAUAAAGUAAUGGCAAACCCCACCAAUGUUCACACAGCCCUAGGACCACACCUCCUAGCACAGGACCCCAUGACCUGAGGGAGUGGCUCUGAUCUCUGUAACCCCAAAGGCCUGAAACCCCUACCCACUUUACACCAUAGAAACCACAGAGCUGACCAGGGUCAUCUUAUAUGCUGCUUUCAGCUACUCUGCUACAGUUCGACAUGCUCAGGUACACUGGUGCUCUCCUCCUGGCGCCACCCAGCAAGAAUGGAAACACUGUCAGUUCUGU